Molecule: ribosomal RNA, 312 nt
Filed under: uncultured delta proteobacterium
Lineage: Bacteria; Deltaproteobacteria
Description: bacterial SSU rRNA
Rfam family: Bacterial small subunit ribosomal RNA
Source: RNAcentral
GAUGUUGGGUUAAGUCCCGCAACGAGCGCAACCCCCGCCUUUAGUUGCUACCGGGUCAUGCCGAGCACUCUAAAGGGACCGCCGGCGUUAAGCCGGAGGAAGGUGGGGAUGACGUCAAGUCCUCAUGGCCCUUAUGUCCAGGGCUACACACGUGCUACAAUGGGCGGUACAGAGGGUUGCCAACCCGCGAGGGGGAGCCAAUCCCAGAAAGCCGUCCUCAGUUCAGAUUGGAGUCUGCAACUCGACUCCAUGAAGGUGGAAUCGCUAGUAAUCGCGGAUCAGCAUGCCGCGGUGAAUACGUUCCCGGGCCUU